UGGGGAAUAUUGGACAAUGGGCGCAAGCCUGAUCCAGCCAUGCCGCGUGAGUGAUGAAGGCCCUAGGGUUGUAAAGCUCUUUCACCGGUGAAGAUAAUGACGGUAACCGGAGAAGAAGCCCCGGCUAACUUCGUGCCAGCAGCCGCGGUAAUACGAAGGGGGCUAGCGUUGUUCGGAUUUACUGGGCGUAAAGCGCACGUAGGCGGACUUUUAAGUCAGGGGUGAAAUCCCGGGGCUCAACCCCGGAACUGCCUUUGAUACUGGAAGUCUUGAGUAUGGUAGAGGUGGUUGGAAUUCCGAGUAUAGAGGUGACCUUCAUAGAUAUUCGGAGGAACACCAUUGGCGAAGGCGUCUCAAUGCACCCUUACUGACGCUCAGGUUCGCAAGCGGGGGGAGCAAACAGG
RNAcentral lists this ribosomal RNA (404 nucleotides) under Actinomycetes bacterium. RNAcentral's name for it is "Actinobacteria bacterium partial 16S ribosomal RNA". It matches the Rfam family "Bacterial small subunit ribosomal RNA", at positions 355 to 776 of the family's 1533-position model. Lineage: Bacteria; Bacillati; Actinomycetota; Actinomycetes. The record is from RNAcentral.